ACCCGGGAAGGCCUGCCCAGCGUAGCUGGGCUCUGAUUGGCUGCUUUGAAAGUCUACGGGCUACCCGAUUGGUGAAUCCGGGGCCCUUUAGCGCGGAUCUACCAUACCCAUUGACUAACUAUGGAAGAUUAUACCAAAAUAGAGAAAAUUGGAGAAGGUACCUAUGGAGUUGUGUAUAAGGGUAGACACAAAACUACAGGUCAAGUGGUAGCCAUGAAAAAAAUCAGACUAGAAAGUGAAGAGGAAGGGGUUCCUAGUACUGCAAUUCGGGAAAUUUCUCUAUUAAAGGAACUUCGUCAUCCAAAUAUAGUCAGUCUUCAGGAUGUGCUUAUGCAGGAUUCCAGGUUAUAUCUCAUCUUUGAGUUUCUUUCCAUGGAUCUGAAGAAAUACUUGGAUUCUAUCCCUCCUGGUCAGUACAUGGAUUCUUCACUUGUUAAGGUAAAAGCUUAACUAAUUUUAUUAAUAUUUAUGCACUGUGGAUAUAAAGGGACUGUAUGUAGAAGUCCCUGCAUUUUGUGGGAAUAUGCUUGGAAAAAGUGUUAGAAUAAGAAAAAGUAUUUCAUUUUUCUCCCUCAUGGUUAGUUUAUACAGGUUAGAGAUACCCAUGUUAUUACCAGAUUGUGUUUCUAGUAAGUGAAAAUUAGUGCCUGAGAUAACAUAGAACUGGUAAGUAUUGUUGGAAGCUAGGGUAGUCUGGUCUUUCUUUGGCUGUCAGAUACAUGUAAAACAAAGUAAUGAAAGCCUAGGGCAGAGUGGUGGUUGUAGGUGUUUUAUUCCAGUUUUGAAUAUGUUUUGGUCAAUUUAUUGUAGACAUUUAUUAUAUUUCAGUUAAAUUAUAAAAUUGUAUAGUUUUAAGUACUGAAGUAUAUAAAAAUGUCUUAUUCUUGCACCAGUUCUACCAAACCACUCUGCAGAGGUAGCGCUGUUGUUAGUUUUAUUUGUAAUCUUACGCUUGUAUGUAUGUUCACUUUGUAUGUGUAUAAAGAUUUUUUUUUUACACAAGGUGGACUUAUUUGCAUAUGUAUAUAUACAUAUUUUCCCUUUUUUGUGUAAAACAUUAUCAAGACGUAGAUCUACCUAUGUCUAUUUACAUUUUUGAUAUAAUUAAACCACAUCCAUAUUGAUGAACAUUUAAAUUAUUUUCCAACUUGGUUAUUGUUGCUCUUAUUAACAGUACUGCACUGAAUGUCCUUAUAGAUAUUUAUCUUUGUAUGCAACUUUAUAGGAUAAAUUUUUAGAAUGGGAAUGAUGGAUUGAAGAUGUUUAUUUACAUUUUGAUAGAUAUUGCCGGUUGCCCCCUAAAAAACUUGUAGCAAUUUACUCUUAAAUACUCAUGGUGUGUAAUACUUAUUGUUUUAGUACAUCAUUGCCAAAACUUGGUUUUAUCAAUCUUUUAACUAUGUGAAAAAGCCAUAUUAAGAUUGUUUUAAUUUUAUAUUUCAUGACAAUUUAACACUUCAUAUUUAGCUAUUAUAAACCGCAUAUACCUAUUCUCUACUAUAUGUUCGUUAGGAUACGUUCUUUAACAAUCUUGCAUGAUUUUGGACUUUCUGCUUUUAUGUCUUGCUUAAGUCUUCCUCACUCAAAGAUCGAAUGUAUUAGAAUGAUACAUGUCAGUAUUUUUCUGGUAGUUUUAGUAAGUCCUGUCUUCCACACAUACUUUUUUUGUCUUAAAUUCUGUAUGGUUUAAGAUUUAUUUUGACUUAAAAACUGGGAUACAGAUUCAGCUUUAUCUUUUUCC
Molecule: small RNA, 1741 nt
Filed under: Pan troglodytes (chimpanzee)
Lineage: Eukaryota; Metazoa; Chordata; Mammalia; Primates; Hominidae
Description: retained intron
Source: RNAcentral